UGGAGAAGUGGCUGAGUGGUUGAAAGCGGCACCCUGCUAAGGUGUUAUAGGGUUUAAACUCUAUCGAGGGUUCGAAUCCCUCCUUCUCCAA
Molecule: transfer RNA, 91 nt
Filed under: Gammaproteobacteria bacterium
Lineage: Bacteria; Pseudomonadati; Pseudomonadota; Gammaproteobacteria
Description: tRNA-Ser(gct)
Rfam family: tRNA
About the family: Transfer RNA (tRNA) molecules are approximately 80 nucleotides in length. Their secondary structure includes four short double-helical elements and three loops (D, anti-codon, and T loops).
Source: RNAcentral